This 7910-nucleotide long non-coding RNA is filed under the name Triticum aestivum (bread wheat). RNAcentral describes it as "long non-coding RNA (TAES_LNC000583)". The record is from RNAcentral. Lineage: Eukaryota; Viridiplantae; Streptophyta; Magnoliopsida; Poales; Poaceae.
CUGUGAGUACGUUUGAAUGUACUCGCAAACAUUCAGAACACAGGUAUAAUAUAAUAAGAGAUAAUCAUACUCCGAAACAUUAUUAUGAUGAUACGUCUGCCAUGAAUUUAACGAAAAUCUGCGAUGCACGUGUGCAGAGGAAAUAUGGACAUGCAAAACGGAGGUAACAGAAAUGCACUGAGCGAGUGUCUAGAAUGACUCCUCGAAAGGUUGCAAAUAAAAUAAUAAUGCCGCAGUCGGGCGUCUGAGCGACACCACAGAAAGGGCUUAUAAAAGAUAAAUAAACACCAAGUAUGCCGCAGUCGGGCGUCUGAGCGACACCACAUAAAGGGCUUAUAAAAGAUAAAUAAACAACGAGCAUGCCGCAGUCGGGCGUCUGAGCGACACCACAUAAAGGGCUCAUAAAAGAUAAAUAAACAACGAGCAUGCCGCAGUCGGGCGUCUGAGCGACACCACAUAAAGGGCUUAUAUUGAAAGAAUAAUCACAAUGAAUAUCCAGGAGGUAGAACCAUCCCAGGGAUACUCAAUAAAGUACAUAAUGUAAAUGGUUAGUCCAUAAUAACAAUAAUAAUAAAACAUGAUCCUCAGAUGUCACAGGUCGUAAACAAAAUCUAGUCUAGCCGUUUCUCCAUCCGUAGACCGUCACUGAGAUCCAGCUAAUUCGUCUCCAUCCGAAUACCGUUACUAUGAUCAAGUUAGCUGUGUCUCCAUCCGAAAACCGUCGCUGAGCUCUAGUCAAAUCGUUCUCCAUCCAAAUACCGUUACUAUGAUCCAUCUCAGACUGAAGUCCUUACUCAUGAACAUGGCUAUCCAAAAGGAUAUGACCUCUGCAGAGGGUGUACUCUAUACCCACGAGUAACGGGUUUACUUAGCCCAUCGGGACUAAUUCCGUCCACGGCCUUUUAAUUGAAAACACGCCUGACCUGCACACACCAGCUUAACUUACCAGUGUCUGGAAUCACCCACGACACCCGUCAAGCAAACUCUAAGUGGGGAGGCUACAACCUCGACGUAGCAUGGGAUCAAAUUUAUAUACGUGCGCUCUAAGGGGUGCCCCCCUCUCGGUCCCAACCGGAAACACCCAUGCCCCUGGACCAGGUGGCAUGCCUACCGGAUGCACACGGUAUCUUCCACCAUGGCCUCUCUGUAAGGUGUGUGCUUUGGUAAGGGGUUGACAACUUACUGAACCAUACCCCGUCUGCGACAGGGACAAGCGGUAGUACACUCAAAUAGUGAAGUUACUGAUCAAGACUUGACCUACGACUGACUCGGGUGGUCCAAGAAAUCUCCGAAUGAUCAGCAUAACCAACAAUGUUACCAUUAAGGGAAAUAAAUCACCACUCAUCAAGCCUCACCAUGCCAUACCGGACAUACUCGUCUUGACGAGGAACUAGGGACAAGCUCGUGUCUACCCAAGACCACGACUUUCCCGGCUUCCUUCCGGUAUGCAUGAGGAGCUCAUGAGGAUGAUCCAAAACACUAGCGUACCCAUUGCUGACCACAAAAUAUCUCCAAAAAGCACUCAUGCACGAGACUUUAUUGUUACAUAAAGAUAACGCAUACUCCAAGUCAAAUGGUGUUGUAAAUGUAUCAGAACACCACAACAAAAAUAUUAUGCCAGAGUUCAGAAAUGCUUGCCUUCAAGAGUAUGCAAAGGAUGCAUUUUUCGAAGGCUUUCCCUUCUCUCCAAAAUCCUAUUUUGAGAAAUAUCCAAAUAACAAACAUUACAAACACAGUACAAAAAGUUGUCUCAAAUAUUUUUAAAAUAAAUCUUAAAAUAAACUAGACGAAAUUUGAGAGAGGUAGGAAAAAGAAUCAACUCAUUUGGAGUUUUAUUUUAAAAGUUGUAGCUGGUCAAAGUCUGGUCAAAACUCUGUUUUUAAAUAAAACCAGAAAAGAAAACGUUUCGAGGGGAAUACGCUUUCGGGGUAGGGGAGACGUACUCUGUGGUUAUACGCUUUCACUUAAAACGAGGAGACGGCGCGCGGGUCACUGACAGUGGGUCCAGAGGGCCCACUGGUUAGGUUUGACCGUUCUUCCCUCCCUUCUCUCUCUCUCCGUCCGAACGGUGGCGGCCUCCGGCGAUCGCCGUCGACGAACGGCGGCUCUUCGAGGGCAUCUGAGGGCGGGGAUGGACCGGCCAGACCGAGGCGGUCCUCUUGGUGGUCGUUGGGUCGUCGGGGGUGGAAGAAAUCGCCAGCGGCGAGCUCCACGGCGGAGGGGGCUACGGUGGUGAAGUGGUUUUUGGGCUCCGGUGGUCUCCGGUCGAGGUUGAGUAGUUUGGUAGCUCCGCAAGGACAAGGGGAAGCUACUGGUGGCGUCAGUUGGGCGAGAGAGUGGCUGGCUGCGAUGUAUUUCACCAGAGCUUGGCGGCGGCCGAACCGGCCGGAGUUGGGGAAGAGAGCCUCUCCGGGCCAAUCCACUGCUAGGGGAGGACUAGGGGAACAGUCUGAGGUUGCCUGAACUCUUGCACGAGCUCGGGGGUCCCUUAAAUAGGUGCUCGGGGUUGGGCCGCGGCGGCUGAGGAUAAGAUCGCUGGCGACAGCCGUGCUGUAGCCGCAGGGCGACGUGGCGGCGGCGAGCGCGUGCCGACGAGCUUCGGGUUAAGACCGGGCUGUUCACGGGGGCAGCUGGCGCGCUGGGGUGGCUUGGGCGGUGCCGUCCAUGCCAGAGGUUCGCUGCUGACGCCGGCGUGCUGCCAAGAGCUCUACCAGCGGCGCUGCGGGGUGCCAGAGGUGGGCGAUCUAGUGCGCGGUUCAGCAGUGGAGCAGGGGCCAGGGACGGGUCGCGUCGAGUGUGGCAGUGCGGCGCGGCGGCUCAGUGCGCGCGCGUGCAAAACGUGCGCUCUGGGCGCGCCCAGAGCACGCACGGAACCUGCUCGACGAAAUGCCAGGGCGGUCUAGCGCGCGAGGGUGGAGCUGGCAAUAAACAGGACAGGGGUAGAGAUAGCUAGGAGCUCAGUGGACAUGGUUGCUGGGUCAGUGGAACAAGAUCGCAGUGCAAACAAAGAACUCAUGCCAAAACAGACUGUGCACACCAACAGUUCGACAGAAUGCCAAGUGCACUUAGGCAAUUCUUGGAGUGGCCAAAAUCUCCAGAUCAGGGUCUCUUUAGGUGUAGGAGAUGGUGUCAAGAUCAUAUGGGCAAAACCAGAAACUUGUUAGUGCAAGUUUUGCAAAACCACAGUUUUGGACAGAAAGAAAAAGGGUUUAUAGCAUGCACUUAAAAACCUCCAAUGAGUCCACUCUCCUAGACUUAAGGGUUUUGAAGGAAGGGUUAAAAGCAGGAAAAAGGUCAUGGGCAUUGGAGCAAAAUAAAAUAGAGUUGCUGUACAAAUCACCAAAUUGGGCCAGAAUGAAAAAGAGGGUGAUUCACUCAAAUUUUUCAAAGAACAUCACUGGGUUUUUGCAUGAAGAUGAAUUGUAUGCAUCCACUGACAUCUCCAAACACUUGAAAGAAUUUUUAAAGAAAUAUUUAAAUGGGUUGUAGUGCAAAAGUGCCCACUGGACCAGAUUGGAAAAGUUGGUGUAGAGCCCAAAAUCUCCAAUGGCCAACGGAUAUUUUUGCAUAAAAGUGAUGUGGAAGCAUCACAUGACAUCCCCAAAUUUUGGUGGAAAUUUUAAAAGCAUUUAUCAAAUGGUUACAGUGCAAAACAGGCUCCAACUUCAAAAGAAAUCAUUUUUAAAAGGAUAAAGCUCUGAGAAACAAUUAUGCAAAUAAAUCCCCUGAUAAAGGAUUGUUUUUUUUAUAAAGAGGGCAUAUAAGUCCAACAAUACCUUUUGAAAGUUUCCACUUGGAGUAAAAAUCCACAAUAACAAAAGGGUAAAUCUUGAAAAAAAUGGAAAAGUUUUAUUUCCUGGCAAAAUAAAAUCAAGGUCAACAUUUUGGGGUGUCACAACACUACCCCCCUUAAGAAAAAUCUCGUCCUCGAGAUUUGUUAAAAGUUGUUUUGAACAAAAACUGUUUUUUUAUCAAAAGAAAUCCUUCUACUGCACAAAAACAAAGCGGCUACAGUGAGAGGGCAAUAAGUGGUGUAAAACCACAGUGUAAUACACUGGCGUAGCGCGGGAAAAACUAUGGUUGGCGGAAAACGAGACAUUUCUACGCGGACACGGUAAUUUAGAAUAAAUUCUAAAUUACUAAAAUACGCUGGUCGUACCCGAGAGCACAGUGCUCUCUCUGGCUGACAGGUGGACCCAGGGCCCACUGUCGGCCUCUUCUUCUACCUCUGGUUCUCUCUUCUCUCUCGCGGGCUCUCCCGCGCUUCCUCCACCGGCGAUGCCUAGCUCGUAGGGCAUCGAAGCCGUACCAUGGUAGUGCGCGGCGUGCUAGCUGCCGGUGCUGCGUGCACUCACCUCGUGGGCCAGUGUGUUGUCGGCACUGCUCGCGGACUCGCCUCCGAACACCGGCGGUCGAGCGACGAGUGGCGCUGGUGGACCUCGCCCACCAUACACCGAUCUCGAGCUAUAAAACGACCGCGAUGCUCCUCUCUUCUUCCUCACAUUUUGCCUCGCUUCCACUUCUCCUUCUUUCUCCUCCAUUGUUGUCAGCAGGAGCUCGAGACGAGGCUCUAAUGGCGGAGGCGAUGCCGGACUGGUAUGUGGUCCUGGUGUGUGGAGGAUUGGCGGUGCUGCUGGGUUUCUCCGUGCUCCUGUGUGCGAUGAUCCUGGAUGAUCAUCAUGAUGCUGCCGCUCGAGUGUUAGCUCUUCACGGCGGCGGCGAUCACGUGGAUUAGGCGCGGCAUCGAGGGCUGACUGCUGUCGGAUGUGCUGGGGCAGCUUGCGCCCGAAUGAUCACUCACAAAUCUCUCUCACUGAGACUGUGGUGCCCUCGAGUGUGGUCAGUUAGGCGCAAAAAUGUGUACGAGGAUUGUAAUUAGUGCACGGGGUCGAGUGGUUGUAGCUGUGAGUCUGCUGUUACGGUGCUGCGCGAAUAAAAUCUAUGUCGCGAAAAUGGUAUACGCAGCAGUGACUCGGGGAAAGAAAUCUCACCAAAACAUGUUGUGAGGAAAAAAAAUUAAAACAAACUAACAGCAGUAAAACUGCUCACAAAACUGGAACUAAAGAGAAAUGGAUCCAUCGCACAGAAUUACAGUAUGUAAAUUAAAUACAGGGAUAAUAAAUACAGCAGAGAUGUUACAAGGAAAACGGCAAAAAGACGGGGUCCUGAGAAAACGCCUCUGGUACUGGGGCACAUUCCUCUUCUAUCGGGGGAAGCGGGUUGACUAGUCGAUGAAUGCGCCCUUCCUGGUCAGGCCUCAGUGGUCUGCCAAUAGCGAUCCGAGGAUUUAAAUCAGCGAGGCUCUGGAGAUAACCCAUUACUCGCUGAGUUAAAUGCUCCUGAGCAAUAACGUACUGGGCAAGGUUGGCCAGUACUGGAUCUCUCUCAAUUCGUCCCCCGGGAAAGGAUGCGACCUCUCCGGGUGCUGCCCGACUCAGAAAAUAAUAAUAUCCUCGCUCGCUGGCAUAGGGUACCGCCAAUCGAAGGCGAGUGAGCGCCUCGUACGCAGUAGCUUCUAUGGCCAUAUGCGGAGUCGGCAUGGACUUCCCCACGAAGGAGACUUCCGUUGGGUCUUGGUUUGGGUAUGCGGGAGGGAUGUGCACCACUGCCCAAUAUUUCGAGGUGGAAGGGGUGAUCCUCGAUUUGAGCAACUCGUACUGGGGUGGAUGGGUGGUACUCAUAGUACUGCAGGUGAAGUCCCACAAUAAUUUGACAAAACUACCUGGGGUUGCGUCUGGGGUUCUCAGAUAAAUACUGGGGGUCGGCAUGGCAAGGAAUGGUUGUGAGAGUUGCGCACAAAGGUGAGGGGUACUCGGCAAGGUCACGAAGUGGCCUUUAUAUAGCAUCGGGGCUGGGAUUAACCACUGGGGAAAAGGUGACUGGUUGCCGAUCCUGUACUUGGGUCAAAGCCAUAGAUAUACAUAUCACAUAAAUGUGACGUAUUACUGUGGGUGCCUUCGGGGUUGGUCUUGGUAGCUGCGCCUGAAAUCUAAAAAUGCAACUGUACGUUAACGUACAUAUGCAUAGCUACCACUCCAAAACAGGGGCGCUCAAGUAGACAGCAUUCAAUAAAAGCGACACAAGGCCACACCGCAUUACAAAACGUCGGAAAACUAGGGCUCGAUACUACUCGAGCGACUUAGUCUACUUCGUUAAUGUCUAAGUGGGCUGGCCUUGCGGACGCCGAUGCUUCUCCACGGGUCUCACCGUCGGGAUUUGCUGGCUGAGGUUGAGGGGCUGCAGGGUCGGGGUAGUGGUGAUGACCAUCGCGGGGGUUGUUGGCCACAAUCCCGUUGGAAUGGGUUCCCAAAAGGCGACGAAGCGCUUCUGGGGUCACCAAAGCACUCUGGUUGAUGGCUGGCGCAGACCUCAAGGGGUCGAUCGGGUGUCCGAAUAGCACGACUGGGUUGUCGACGUCGGGCUCCGCUUCUCUUCUCGCCGGGGCUCGGCGGACCAGUUCUCCACGAGCUGCGAUCAGAUCAAAAGUGACCUGAUCGAACAGUUGCUCUAGUGCGCUUACAUAGCGCACCAAAUGCAACAGUGCAGGAUCUGUCUCGUGAUCUCCGUUGGCAACCUGGGGCGGCCUACCAUACCCGUCACGACUGGGGUAGUAGUAGAAUGAGCGACAGUUAACUCUGGGCGACAAGUGUCGGAGUUGAACUAUAGCUUCUCGGGCUGCCAGUUGAAUGGCUUGUGGCUCAAAAGAAGUUGUCCUUCCGGUGAACCUGUAGGGGCGUUCUGGUGACAGACCCCUACCGUAGAUGUGCACAGUGGCCCAGUAUUGACGGCUCUCACCGUACAUGGGUCCCUGGUACACAACAUAUUCAGGAGGCUCCUCUAACGCAUAGGCACGGCGGGUGAGGUUUGCGAGCACGGUCACAAAACCUCCAAGGUUGGUUGAUGUGGUCUCAUUGUGAACAAUGGGGCCAGGCAUCGCGGUUUGGUUUGGGGAAAGAGGCUGUGCUGUGCUGUGUUGAGGCUAGCGUGCCCUUUUUAUAGGGAAAGGGGACGGAGUCUUCAUCCGCACUCUUGCGAUAGAGACGGGUUGUGUGUCGGUCACUGGCGCGUGAUCGACGGGCUAGGCUGAUAGGUUGGGCACCGUUCGCCGAAAGGCGUCGGGUCACUGUGGAGCUAUCUUACGCGGGAAGCUUGACCGGGGUUAGGCUAAGGUCUGGUGGUCUAGUUAACAUAGGUUUAUUGACCUGGCUAAGAUAGGGUUAGCCAAUGGUCAGCCUGGCUCUGAUACCAAGUCUGUCACGACCGGAUUUUCGGGAUAUCAAUUUCCUAGAAAACGGCCUUUGUGCUCACCAGCCCCAGGAUAACUGUUAGCUGAUGAGACACCAACUUGAUACAAGAAUUCCAAGCAAGGUACAAAAAUAUGUAGUACAAGAUCAUUGUGGCCUAGGAGUACAACAUUGGGUUUCUAGUGGUUGAUGGCGGAAGCGCCUUGAGGUACAUCUGCGUCUAUGGGACUCCAUUUCCCACAAGAACAGCUGACCAGGAUAACUCCUAUCUUCGCGAGGCUGCUAUCGUCAGAAUGCAGGUUCUGGGGCUGUCGUCGCGAUUCUUAUCUCCAGGCAAGAAAUCUGGCCAAGACAAUAGCCAGGGACAAGCCUGUGAGUACGUUUGAAUGUAAUCGCAAACAUUCAGAACACGGGUACAUUCAGAACACGGGUAUAAUAUAAUAAGAGAUAAUCAUACUCCGAAACAUUAUUAUGAUGAUACGUCUGCCAUGAAUUUAACGAAAAUCUGUGAUGCACGUGUGCAGAGGAAAGGACAUGCAAAACGGAGGUAACAGAAAUGCACUGAGCGAGUGUCUAGAAUGACUCCUCGAAAGGUUGCAAAUAAAAUAAUAAUGCCGCAGUCGGGCGUCUGAGCGACACCACAGAAAGGGCUUAUAAAAGAUAAAU